RNAcentral lists this ribosomal RNA (492 nucleotides) under uncultured bacterium. RNAcentral's name for it is "partial 16S ribosomal RNA". It matches the Rfam family "Bacterial small subunit ribosomal RNA", at positions 29 to 507 of the family's 1533-position model. The record is from RNAcentral.
AGUGAACGCUGGCGGUAGGCCUAACACAUGCAAGUCGAACGGCAGCACAGUAAGAGCUUGCUCUUACGGGUGGCGAGUGGCGGACGGGUGAGGAAUAGAUCGGAAUCUACUUUUUCGUGGGGGAUAACGUAGGGAAACUUACGCUAAUACCGCAUACGACCUACGGGUGAAAGCAGGGGAUCUUCGGACCUUGCGCGAUUGAAUGAGCCGACGUCGGAUUAGCUAGUUGGCAGGGUAAAGGCCCACCAAGGCAACGAUCCGUAGCUGGUCUGAGAGGAUGAUCAGCCACACUGGAACUGAGACACGGUCCAGACUCCUACGGGAGGCAGCAGUGGGGAAUAUUGGGCAAAGGGCGCAAGCCUGAUCCAGCCAUACCGCGUGGGUGAAGAAGGCCUUCGGGUUGUAAAGCCCUUUUGUUGGGAAAGAAAAGCAGCAGGUUAAUACCCCGCUGUUCUGACGGUACCCAAAGAAUAAGCACCGGCUAACUUCGUG